Molecule: long non-coding RNA, 801 nt
Filed under: Homo sapiens (human)
Lineage: Eukaryota; Metazoa; Chordata; Mammalia; Primates; Hominidae
Description: HSALNT0312043
Source: RNAcentral
CCUUCGAGGGAAUAACCUGGAUUAUGGCCAAUACUUUCUACUUCUAAUAGUCUUCCAGUUUCAUUGUUCACAAGGGGUUGGUAAACAAAAAUCAAUGAAAAGAGCAGGGUCUUCUCUAUUUUGGAUUUGGACACUGAUGAUGAAGCUGUGAUAUUCUGAUCCAGGACUCAAUGGCUCCUCCUGGAUCUUCUAACAAGGUCAAUCUGGCUGAGUUCCAGACAGUCAGCUGAUGGUCUCAUAUGAGGAAUCUAAAGUUGAUGAAGAUGGUGGUAGUAGAGUGGUGUAAUCCUCAUAGCUCAAAAACGAUCAGAGCUCAUUAAUUAUUAACUAACUAGAACUUUUAUGGCUCAUUAGCUACUGGUUAAAUGUCAGAAUUCCAUAUAGUCAGAAUCAUGGAGCAUGCAGCCUCUUUAGUGGGCUGCCUUGUGCCUGGGUCUGAAGAGAAGAGGAAGAAAGAGGGGAGUCUGAUGGACAAAGCUCUGUGGAGGACGUGGCACUGAGCAGAAACUUGAAACAGAGCUUGACUGGCUGGCAGGAUGAGAAGAAUGGACUCUUGGCUGAAGGGGAAGCAAGCACAAGCACAUAGAGAUGAGGAAGCAUGGGUGGUGGUAUAUAGGGUACCAUGCAUGUGUCAAAAAUCAAAACCAGGGAGCCCAGCCUCUAAUAUGAGAAGAUUCCAGAUUUCAAAAGCACUAGGUACUAUUUGAUAAACCAAACAUUUUCCCUGUUAUUGCUAGAAGCAGACACACAUAGGCACAUUUGCAUCCUCUAUAUUGAUACUUCUCAAAUCAUCCAUAGUAA